GGGGCUAUAGCUCAGCUGGGAGAGCGCCUGAUUUGCAUUCAGUAGAUCAGCAGUUCGACCCUGCUUAGC
Molecule: transfer RNA, 69 nt
Filed under: Alteromonas macleodii
Lineage: Bacteria; Pseudomonadati; Pseudomonadota; Gammaproteobacteria; Alteromonadales; Alteromonadaceae
Description: partial tRNA-Ala
Rfam family: tRNA
About the family: Transfer RNA (tRNA) molecules are approximately 80 nucleotides in length. Their secondary structure includes four short double-helical elements and three loops (D, anti-codon, and T loops).
Source: RNAcentral